RNAcentral lists this ribosomal RNA (256 nucleotides) under uncultured archaeon. RNAcentral's name for it is "partial 16S ribosomal RNA". It matches the Rfam family "Bacterial small subunit ribosomal RNA", at positions 521 to 776 of the family's 1533-position model. The record is from RNAcentral.
UAAUACGGAGGGGACUAGCGUUGUUCGGAAUUACUGGGCGUAAAGCGCACGUAGGCGGAUCGGAAAGUUGGGGGUGAAAUCCCGGGGCUCAACCCCGGAACUGCCUUCAAAACUAUCGGUCUGGAGUUCGAGAGAGGUGAGUGGAAUUCCGAGUGUAGAGGUGAAAUUCGUAGAUAUUCGGAGGAACACCAGUGGCGAAGGCGGCUCACUGGCUCGAUACUGACGCUGAGGUGCGAAAGCGUGGGGAGCAAACAGG